GCUGCUUCCACAUGAAGCUCCAUCAGUGCUAAAAAGUACAUAAAAGUAUUAGAGCAACAUUUGUUCCCAUCCAGACAUGUCGUUCAGGGAUUGCCUUCCUGAUUUCAGAAAGACAAUGUUUAACCACACAAUGCAUCCAUCACAACAAUAUGGCUGAACUGUCCUGUCUGCAGUCCAGACCUUUCACCAAACAUCAAAUCUUUUUCUUGCUGUCAUCAAAAUCAGAAUGAGCUAAUAUGUUCCACGAAACAGUAAAAUGUCUUAGUUUCAACAUCUGAUAUGUUGUUUAUGUUUUUUCUUUUAAAAUGUGGGUUUAUGAAAUUUGCACAUCAUUACAUUCUGUUUUUGUUUUGUUUUUUAACUUGUCCUGUCCAGCAAGCAAAAUGAUAAUCAGGUUGCUGUAUCGUUCUGAACAAAUGUGCUCUGCCAAGGGGAGGCCUAUUGGCAAGGCUCCUCUUGGUAAUCUGAUUAAUUUAUUUAUUUAUUUACU
This is a long non-coding RNA of Melanotaenia boesemani (Boeseman's rainbowfish), 490 nucleotides long. RefSeq lists it as uncharacterized. NCBI's taxonomy places the organism in Eukaryota, Metazoa, Chordata, Actinopteri, Atheriniformes, Melanotaeniidae. The record is from RefSeq and is a predicted model, not a curated record. The transcript is spliced from 3 exons.